GCUCUGACCACUGGAGAGAAAGGAUUGGAUUAUAAGUGUUCCCUUCUUUCACAGAAUUAUUCCAGGGUUUAUGUGUCAGGGUGGUGACUUCACAUGCCAUAAUGGCACUGGUGGCAAGUCCAUCUACGGGGAGAAAUUUAAUAAUGAGAACUUCAUCCUAAAGCAUACAGGUCCUGGCAUCUUGUCCAUGGCAAAUGCUGGACCCAUCACAAACAGUUCCCAGUUUUUCAUCUGCACUGCCAAGACUGAGUGGUUGGAUGGCAGGCCAUGUGGUCUUUGGCAAGUUGAAAGAAGGCAUGAAUAUUGUGGAGGCCAUGGAGUGCUUUGGGUCCAGUGGCAAGACCAAGACCACCAUUGCUGACUGUG
This 366-nucleotide long non-coding RNA is filed under the name Homo sapiens (human). Its description in RNAcentral is "non-protein coding SEC23A-AS1:17". The record is from RNAcentral. Lineage: Eukaryota; Metazoa; Chordata; Mammalia; Primates; Hominidae.